Molecule: transfer RNA, 72 nt
Filed under: Camelus bactrianus (Bactrian camel)
Lineage: Eukaryota; Metazoa; Chordata; Mammalia; Artiodactyla; Camelidae
Also listed under: 2 other names
Rfam family: tRNA
About the family: Transfer RNA (tRNA) molecules are approximately 80 nucleotides in length. Their secondary structure includes four short double-helical elements and three loops (D, anti-codon, and T loops).
Source: Rfam by way of RNAcentral
GACGGUAUAGUUCAGCGGUGGAUCACGUGCUUAGCAUGCAUGAGGUCCUGGGUCCAAUCCCCAGUACUCCUG